Molecule: ribosomal RNA, 577 nt
Filed under: uncultured bacterium
Lineage: Bacteria
Description: bacterial SSU rRNA
Rfam family: Bacterial small subunit ribosomal RNA
Source: RNAcentral
CCUACGGGAGGCAGCAGUGAGGAAUUAUUGGUCAAUGGAGGCAACUCUGAACCACCAAGUCGCGUGAAGGAUGAAGUCUUAUGGAUUGUAAACUUCUUUUGCAAGGGAAUAAAGUGGGGGACGUGUCCUCCUUUGCAUGUACCUCGCGAAUAAGGAUCGGCUAACUCCGUGCCAGCAGCCGCGGUAAUACGGAGGAUCCGAGCGUUAUCCGGAUUUAUUGGGUUUAAAGGGUGCGCAGGCGGGAUGUUAAGUCGGCGGUGAAAUUUUGCAGCUCAACUGUAAAAGUGCCUUCGAUACUGGCUUUCUUGAGUGUGGAUGAAGUAGGCGGAAUUUGUGGUGUAGCGGUGAAAUGCUUAGAUAUCACGAGGAACUCCGAUUGCGCAGGCAGCUUACUAAACCACUACUGACGCUCAUGCACGAAGGCGUGGGGAUCAAACAGGAUUAGAUACCCUGGUAGUCCACGCAGUAAACGAUGAUUACUAGUUGUUUGCGAUACAAUGUAAGCGACUGAGCGAAAGCGUUAAGUAAUCCACCUGGGGAGUACGUUCGCAAGAAUGAAACUCAAAGGAAUUGACGG